GACGAACGCUGGCGGCGUGCCUAAUACAUGCAGGUAGAACGCACAGUUUAUACCGUAGCUUGCUACACCAUAGACUGUGAGUUGCGAACGGGUGAGUAACGCGUAGGUAACCUGCCUGGUAGCGGGGGAUAACUAUUGGAAACGAUAGCUAAUACCGCAUAAUAUUGAUUAUUGCAUGAUAAUUGAUUGAAAGAUGCUAUUGCAUCACUACCAGAUGGACCUGCGUUGUAUUAGCUAGUAGGUGAGGUAACGGCUCACCUAGGCGACGAUACAUAGCCGACCUGAGAGGGUGAUCGGCCACACUGGGACUGAGACACGGCCCAGACUCCUACGGGAGGCAGCAGUAGGGAAUCUUCGGCAAUGGACGAAAGUCUGACCGAGCAACGCCGCGUGAGUGAAGAAGGUUUUCGGAUCGUAAAGCUCUGUUGUAAGAGAAGAACGGGUGUGAGAGUGGAAAGUUCACACUGUGACGGUAUCUUACCAGAAAGGGACGGCUAACUACGUG
RNAcentral lists this ribosomal RNA (505 nucleotides) under uncultured bacterium. Its description in RNAcentral is "partial 16S ribosomal RNA". It matches the Rfam family "Bacterial small subunit ribosomal RNA", at positions 28 to 507 of the family's 1533-position model. The record is from RNAcentral.